Molecule: unclassified non-coding RNA, 240 nt
Filed under: soil metagenome
Description: partial contains 5.8S ribosomal RNA, internal transcribed spacer 2, and large subunit ribosomal RNA
Source: RNAcentral
AACCUUAUGGACCUGCGGGCGUAUACCUGCGGAAGGAUCAUUACCGAGUGAGGGCCCUCCGGGUCCAACCUCCCACCCGUGUUUAACGAACCUUGUUGCUUCGGCGGGCCCGCCUCACGGCCGCCGGGGGGCACCCCGCCCCCGGGCCCGCGCCCGCCGAAGACACCUGUGAACGCUGUCUGAAGUUGCAGUCUGAGACACUAGCUCAAUCAGUUAAAACUUUUAGCAAUGGAUCUCAGA